CACCCCUUACCAUUCCGAACAGGGAAGUUAAGACCGUUUGCGCCGAUGGUACUGCUAUACCAAGUGGGAGAGUAGGUAGCCGCCUUUUU
RNAcentral lists this ribosomal RNA (89 nucleotides) under Maribacter litoralis. Lineage: Bacteria; Pseudomonadati; Bacteroidota; Flavobacteriia; Flavobacteriales; Flavobacteriaceae. The record is from RNAcentral. RNAcentral also lists the same sequence under 1 other name.